GACGAACGCUGGCGGCGCGCCUAACACAUGCAAGUCGAACGAGCGAGAGAGAGCUUGCUUUCUUGAGCGAGUGGCGAACGGGUGAGUAACGCGUGAGGAACCUGCCUCAAAGAGGGGGACAACAGUUGGAAACGACUGCUAAUACCGCAUAAGCCCACGACCCGGCAUCGGGUUGAGGGAAAAGGAGCAAUCCGCUUUGAGAUGGCCUCGCGUCCGAUUAGCUAGUUGGUGAGGUAACGGCCCACCAAGGCGACGAUCGGUAGCCGGACUGAGAGGUUGAAAGGACAAAUUGGGAAUGGGACACGGCCCAGACCCCUAGGGGAGGCAGGAGGGGGGAAAAGUGCAAAAUGGGGGAAAACCUGAUGCAGCGACGCCGGGGGGAGGAAGAAGGUCUUCGGAUUGUAAACCCCUGUUGUUGAGGAAGAAAAUGACGGUACUAAACAAGGAAGGGACGGCUAACUACGU
Molecule: ribosomal RNA, 465 nt
Filed under: uncultured bacterium
Lineage: Bacteria
Description: partial 16S ribosomal RNA
Rfam family: Bacterial small subunit ribosomal RNA
Source: RNAcentral